AUGUUUCACAUCAGGCCUAGUUCAGUAAACUUAUUUUUCAUUCACAAUCCAUUCAAAACAUUCCUCUCAAACCAUUCUCAGCAAGUACACACAGCUGGUCCAAAGGGCACUUUCCAGACAGAUCUCACUACGUACAACUUCAUCAUACAAGAUUUCGACACAGCCAGUUACUGGCACCAGACUGAGCAGAAAGUCUGUUGCUGCCACUAAUCCCAGUCAACAGCUUUUUUAACACCAGGGAAAAAUUUUGCAGGGAAGGUCAAUACCCAAGGUCUUACGGAAUUGCUGACCAGAAGCUGCCCAUCUAAAUGAAAAUGAGGGAACUUCACAUGGAUUUGUUUGUUUGCCAAACAGAAGAACCCAACUUCUGCAAACAGGGGUUAGGACGAGAAAUUCCUAACAAGGACAAGAAAUCAGUCUGGGAUGAUGAGCAGCUGCAGUCCUGUGAUUACAGAACUUGGAGACCACUGGCUUGGGGCACCGAUGAGGAGGAGAAAUGUGGAAAGGACUGAGAAAGAAAAAAGUACCUCAUAAAUUUCCCAGCUGAUCCGUUGGAUUGGCACACAAACUGCCUGGAAAGGUUGUGGCAGAGCCAUUGGCAUGAAUACAAAACAGAAUGUUUACUUUAAUAGGAAAAAAACAUCCAACAACCAGAAAAGAAGUGAUGCAGCUGUAUUGUUCUACCCAUUAAAUUACAUUAACAGCAAUUCAAAAGGUGCACUCCAGGCCUUUGCUGGCACCAAGCUCUUUUAUUCAUUAAUCUUCUUAAUGUAGCCAAUGAACUUUAGAAUUAAAGAAUAUGUUGUGGGUUCU
Molecule: long non-coding RNA, 813 nt
Organism: Pseudopipra pipra
Lineage: Eukaryota; Metazoa; Chordata; Aves; Passeriformes; Pipridae
Exons: 3
Source: RefSeq, a predicted model, not a curated record